RNAcentral lists this ribosomal RNA (468 nucleotides) under uncultured bacterium. RNAcentral describes it as "partial 16S ribosomal RNA". It matches the Rfam family "Bacterial small subunit ribosomal RNA", at positions 28 to 507 of the family's 1533-position model. The record is from RNAcentral.
GACGAACGCUGGCGGCGUGCUUAACACAUGCAAGUCGAACGGAAAGGCCCUGCUUUUGUGGGGUGCUCGAGUGGCGAACGGGUGAGUAACACGUGAGUAACCUGCCCUUGACUUUGGGAUAACUUCAGGAAACUGGGGCUAAUACCGGAUAGGAGCUCCUGCUGCAUGGUGGGGGUUGGAAAGUUUCGGCGGUUGGGGAUGGACUCGCGGCUUAUCAGCUUGUUGGUGGGGUAGUGGCUUACCAAGGCUUUGACGGGUAGCCGGCCUGAGAGGGUGACCGGCCACAUUGGGACUGAGAUACGGCCCAGACUCCUACGGGAGGCAGCAGUGGGGAAUAUUGCACAAUGGGCGGAAGCCUGAUGCAGCAACGCCGCGUGCGGGAUGACGGCCCUCGGGUUGUAAACCGCUUUCGCCUGUGACGAAGCGUGUGUGACGGUAAUGGGUAAAGAAGCACCGGCUAACUACGUG